AAUUAGCGCGUUAGGGAUUGAAGUGGCAUCCUUUUUAAACUGAACUUUUUUCAGUUUAAAAAGAUAGAACGGAAAGCCUGUUAAAAC
RNAcentral lists this small RNA (87 nucleotides) under Polaribacter sp. KT25b. RNAcentral's name for it is "Flavo-1 RNA". It matches the Rfam family "Flavo-1 RNA". The record is from Rfam by way of RNAcentral. Lineage: Bacteria; Pseudomonadati; Bacteroidota; Flavobacteriia; Flavobacteriales; Flavobacteriaceae.